Molecule: ribosomal RNA, 347 nt
Filed under: Klebsiella pneumoniae
Lineage: Bacteria; Pseudomonadati; Pseudomonadota; Gammaproteobacteria; Enterobacterales; Enterobacteriaceae
Description: partial 23S ribosomal RNA
Rfam family: Bacterial large subunit ribosomal RNA
Source: RNAcentral
GCUCAUCACAUCCUGGGGCUGAAGUAGGUCCCAAGGGUAUGCCUGUUCGCCAUUUAAAGUGGUACGCGAGCUGGGUUUAGAACGUCGUGAGACAGUUCGGACCCUAUCUGCCGUGGGCGCUGGAGAAUUGAGGGGGGCUGCUCCUAGUACGAGAGGACCGGAGUGGAUGCAUCACUGGUGUUCGGGUUGUCAUGCCAAUGGCACUGCCCGGUAGCUAAAUGCGGAAGAGAUAAGUGCUGAAAGCAUCUAAGCACGAAACUUGCCCCGAUAUGAGUUCUCCCUGAGACUUUAAGUCUCCUGAAGGAAUGUUAAAGACGAUGACUUUGAUAGGCGGGGUGUGUAUGCGC